RNAcentral lists this ribosomal RNA (492 nucleotides) under uncultured bacterium. RNAcentral describes it as "partial 16S ribosomal RNA". It matches the Rfam family "Bacterial small subunit ribosomal RNA", at positions 29 to 507 of the family's 1533-position model. The record is from RNAcentral.
AGUGAACGCUGGCGGUAGGCCUAACACAUGCAAGUCGAGCGGCAGCACAGUAAGAGCUUGCUCUUACGGGUGGCGAGUGGCGGACGGGUGAGGAAUACAUCGGAAUCUACUUUUUCGUGGGGGAUAACGUAGGGAAACUUACGCUAAUACCGCAUACGACCUACGGGUGAAAGCAGGGGAUCUUCGGACCUUGCGCGAUUGAAUGAGCCGAUGUCGGAUUAGCUAGUUGGCGGGGUAAAGGCCCACCAAGGCGACGAUCCGUAGCUGGUCUGAGAGGAUGAUCAGCCACACUGGAACGGAGACACGGUCCAGACUCCUACGGGAGGCAGCAGUGGGGAAUAUUGGACAAUGGGCGCAAGCCUGAUCCAGCCAUACCGCGUGGGUGAAGAAGGCCUUCGGGUUGUAAAGCCCUUUUGUUGGGAAAGAAAAGCAGCAGGUUAAUACCCCGCUGUUCUGACGGUACCCAAAGAAUAAGCACCGGCUAACUUCGUG